RNAcentral lists this ribosomal RNA (497 nucleotides) under uncultured bacterium. RNAcentral describes it as "partial 16S ribosomal RNA". It matches the Rfam family "Bacterial small subunit ribosomal RNA", at positions 28 to 507 of the family's 1533-position model. The record is from RNAcentral.
GAUGAACGCUGGCGGCGUGCCUAAUACAUGCAAGUCGAGCGAACGGACGAGAAGCUUGCUUCUCUGAUGUUAGCGGCGGACGGGUGAGUAACACGUGGAUAACCUACCUAUAAGACUGGGAUAACUUCGGGAAACCGGAGCUAAUACCGGAUAAUAUUUUGAACCGCAUGGUUCAAAAGUGAAAGACGGUCUUGCUGUCACUUAUAGAUGGAUCCGCGCUGCAUUAGCUAGUUGGUAAGGUAACGGCUUACCAAGGCAACGAUGCAUAGCCGACCUGAGAGGGUGAUCGGCCACACUAGAACUGAGACGCGGUCCAGACUCCUACGGGAGGCAGCAGUAGGGAAUCUUCCGCAAUGGGCGAAAGCCUGACGGGGCAACGCCGCGUGAGUGAUGAAGGUCUUCGGAUCGUAAAACUCUGUUAUUAGGGAAGAACAUAUGUGUAAGUAACUGUGCACAUCUUGACGGUACCUAAUCAGAAAGCCACGGCUAACUACGUG